RNAcentral lists this long non-coding RNA (834 nucleotides) under Junco hyemalis (dark-eyed junco). RNAcentral's name for it is "lncRNA (ENSJHYG00000013265.1)". The record is from RNAcentral. Lineage: Eukaryota; Metazoa; Chordata; Aves; Passeriformes; Passerellidae.
AGAAUUUCUUAUUAAUCUACUUCUUCUUCUUCUUCUUGCAGAAGAUGAAACCCUGGAGUUUUUUGAACACAGUGGGAAAGCCUCCUUUGGUUUUAUGAAAAGCAGUGAGACCUCCUCAGCUGAAGAGAGGAAAAAUUCCUGUCUUUCUACCCAGAGAGUCCUGAUUGUGGAUUCCACCGGGGCAUAGUCUACCGCAGUUGAUUCAUAUUUAUUCCCUCAGGUGUGCAAAUUACCACUCUUGAUUGAAGAUUCUCAGGUAAAAAAAGGAGCAGCCACCCAUUUCCCUAAGCAGAACUGCUUGGAAGCAUGCAAUCUACCUGGCUUUCAGAAAUUCCUUUUAGAGGGGGAAAAAGAUACUGGAAUGUUUUAGAAUAUAAAGAUGUUCUCCCACAAAAGAAAGAGCUGGAUCAACGUGGAUAUAUCAUUUCAUUUGUGCUGCUAGAAAAAUCCAGCAGCUGGCCAGCUGUCUUUUCAAUGCUCUGAAGAUUCCCAGCUGAUACUGGAAAGAGGAGACAAAGGGAAAAUAAGCCUCACAGUUUGAAGCCAGGUCCAAAUGGCAAACCAACAUAUGCAUGGCCUUGUCUGCAGUCUGGGGAGUGUUUUGUUGGCUUUCCUUGGUGUGUUACCAUGUUCUACCCAAGAGUAAAUCUGCUGGUUAGCACUGGAUCCUCCUGCUCCUACAGCUCAGAGAAAAGGCUUCAGAGGCAUUCUCGUGGUGCUUUUACAGCACCUUCCCCAGCCAAGUGGAAAAGAGCUGCUGCAGGUAUAAACUGAGUUGAAUUUGUGAUUUACAUUCAGCCUUGCAGUGUAUUUCACAUUAAUGCCGUGAAUGAG